This 253-nucleotide ribosomal RNA is filed under the name uncultured bacterium. RNAcentral's name for it is "partial 16S ribosomal RNA". It matches the Rfam family "Bacterial small subunit ribosomal RNA", at positions 524 to 776 of the family's 1533-position model. The record is from RNAcentral.
UACGGGGGGGGCAAAUGUUGUUCGGAAUCACUGGGCGUAAAGGGCGCGUAGGCGGGCUUCUAAGUUAGAUGUUUAAUCCCGGGGCCCAACCCCGGACAGGCACCUAAAACUGGAAGUCUUGAAUAGUGGAGAGGACGGCGGAAUUGGGGGUGUAGCGGUGGAAUGCGUAGAGAUCCCCAAGAACACCAGUUGCGAAGGCGGCCGUCUGGACACAUAUUGACGCUGAGGCUCGAAAGCAUGGGGAGCAAACAGG